UCUCAAAAUAUUUAUAUGGGCAGUUGCGUCUCAUCUACGUGAGAGUUUUUUGUGUGGAAUGUUUGACCAAACCACGUAAUAUAGAGAGAGAUAUGAGCGUUUUCGUGUGAUAAGUGACGAUGGAUUAGGGUUACACGUUUCGAUCGAGUCCUUAACGUUGUCGGAUCCAGUUGAAUUUUUUACCAUAGACAUCUUUCGUCAUAAUGAUCAUAUCUGACGGUCGAAUUUUGGUUUGUGAAUUUUAGUCAUCGGAAUCACAACGUGUCUACUAAUGUUGUAUAACUUGUUUAGUAGGUUAUACAACUUUGUGAACCAACUCUAUAUAGGAAGCAAAAUUAUCAAAAAUCUCGUGAAAUAAGAUGUGUUCAGAAUGGUGAAAUACGGCUAUGGUUCAAAAAUCACGUAAAUCGGGUAAAGUCUCGGUGUCGAUAGUAGCGGUCAACCCUAUUUACCGUUAUUAUUCCCUAUGGGGAGCCCUAUCGUCGGAAGGUAAAUGUCUCAAAAUUUUUAUAUAGGCGGUUGCGUCUCAUCUUUAUAUUACCGAAGGUGGAUGGUAAGAAGUCUAUUUCGCCUGCCAGAUUUUCUUCUCGACCUAGCUCCGCCGUCAGGCCACCGGAGACCGCCACACUUGUCCCAAAAGCUUCACCGUCGUCUCUACUUCAUUGCUGGACAUGUGGUGCAUCGAGUGGUGCCGCCGUGAGAGAUAAAUCGAGCUCCAAAACUCCGCCGGUUCGGAUUCUGUGUGAGUUUGAUUAGUACUACAUUCCCCUAGAAUUUGGUAGCUCGAUUCGGUGUGUGUGAGGAGAAUCGAAGAUUUGAAGUUUUUAGGGUUUAAAAUUGGGGAUUUUUAUAUUUUGAUUCAAUUGACCUGUUUAGGCUUAGAAUUGAGCUUCGACUUCUUCUAGAAAGUUAUUCGAAAUGUUGAGAGGAAGAUUCUGUCAAAUUUUGGUGGUGAUUGGAGGUGGCUGAAAGUUUCUGCAGUUUUUUUUUUCAAAAACCAGCAACUUUAGCCGACGAUAUUUAAAGGUUUAGCCGACGAUAUUUAAAGGUUUAUUCGUUGGCUACAGUAAUUUUAAAUUUUUUUAUAAGGUUUAGCCGACGAAUUAUGGCAUAUUUCGUCGGCUAUAGUUAUUUUUAAAAUUUUUUUAUAAGGUUUAGCCGACGAAACAGACUAUAUUUCGUCGGCUAUAGUUAUUUUUUAAAAUUUUUUAUAAGGUUUAGCCGACGAAACAGACUAUAUUUCGUCGGCUAUAGUUAUUUUUUAAAAUUUUU
RNAcentral lists this long non-coding RNA (1272 nucleotides) under Fragaria vesca (wild strawberry). Its description in RNAcentral is "long non-coding RNA (FVES_LNC001585)". Lineage: Eukaryota; Viridiplantae; Streptophyta; Magnoliopsida; Rosales; Rosaceae. The record is from RNAcentral.